Girardinichthys multiradiatus is the source of this 178-nucleotide long non-coding RNA. RefSeq lists it as uncharacterized. The record is from RefSeq and is a predicted model, not a curated record. The transcript has 2 exons. NCBI's taxonomy places the organism in Eukaryota, Metazoa, Chordata, Actinopteri, Cyprinodontiformes, Goodeidae.
GCAGUGCUGUUUAUUAUAAACAAUCAGAAAACUGAGGCAAUACUAAAAAUAAAUAAUGGCGGUUUUCACCAGUAGGUAAAUUACCUUGGGGUUUGUGGUCUGGAACAGCUGUUCUUCAGUGAUGUAACGCUCUGCAGGCCUUUCCACUCAACCUGACCUGAAUCGAGGCUCCUUGCAA